GAGUGAACGCUGGCGGUAGGCCUAACGCAUGCAAGUCGAACGGCAGCACAGUAAGAGCUUGCUCUUACGGGUGGCGAGUGGCGGACGGGUGAGGAAUACAUCGGAAUCUACUUUUUCGUGGGGGAUAACGUAGGGAAACUUACGCUAAUACCGCAUACGACCUACGGGUGAAAGCAGGGGAUCUUCGGACCUUGCGCGAUUGAAUGAGCCGAUGUCGGAUUAGCUAGUUGGCGGGGUAAAGGCCCACCAAGGCGACGAUCCGUAGCUGGUCUGAGAGGAUGAUCAGCCACACUGGAACUGAGACACGGUCCAGACUCCUACGGGAGGCAGCAGUGGGGAAUAUUGGACAAUGGGCGCAAGCCUGAUCCAGCCAUACCGCGUGGGUGAAGAAGGCCUUCGGGUUGUAAAGCCCUUUUGUUGGGAAAGAAAAGCAGCAGGUUAAUACCCCGCUGUUCUGACGGUACCCAAAGAAUAAGCACCGGCUAACUUCGUG
This 493-nucleotide ribosomal RNA is filed under the name uncultured bacterium. RNAcentral describes it as "partial 16S ribosomal RNA". It matches the Rfam family "Bacterial small subunit ribosomal RNA", at positions 27 to 507 of the family's 1533-position model. The record is from RNAcentral.